This 463-nucleotide ribosomal RNA is filed under the name uncultured bacterium. RNAcentral's name for it is "partial 16S ribosomal RNA". It matches the Rfam family "Bacterial small subunit ribosomal RNA", at positions 28 to 507 of the family's 1533-position model. The record is from RNAcentral.
GACGAACGCUGGCGGCGUGCUUAACACAUGCAAGUCGAACGGUAAGGCCCUGCGUUGGUCGCGUGUGCCGGUCGCGAGCGGAACACUAACACAACCGUCCCCUGACUCUGGGUUAAGAAUAGCUAACGGCUGCUAAUACUAAUAACUGAUCUCCUCUCGUGCGGCGGGGUGUGGGUUGGUUUGGUGGUGGGGGAUGGGCUCGCGUCUUAUCAGCUUGUUGGUGGGGUGAUGGCUUACCAAGGCGUCGACGGGUAGCCGGCCUGAGAGGGCGACCGGCCACAUUGGGACUGAGAUACGGCCCAAACUCCUACGGGAGGCAGCAGUGGGGAAUAUUGCACAAUGGGCGGAAGCCUGAUGCAGCAACGCCGCGUGCGGGAUGACGGCCUUCGGGUUGUAAACCGCUUUCAGCAGGGACGAAGCGCGAGUGACGGUAACUGCAGAAGAAGCACCGGCUAACUACGUG